CUCAGUAACGGCGAGUGAAGCGGCAACAGCUCAAAUUUGAAAUCUGGCGCCUCCGGCGUCCGAGUUGUAAUUUGUAGAGGAUGCUAUUGGGUUGCCACCGGUCUAAGUUCCUUGGAACAGGACGUCACAGAGGGUGAGAAUCCCGUAUGUGACCGGCCAGGCGCCCUCCGUAUAGCUCCUUCGACGAGUCGGGUUGUUUGGGAAUGCAGCCCUAAAUGGGAGGUAAAUUUCUUCUAAAGCUAAAUACCGGCCAGAGACCGAUAGCGCACAAGUAGAGUGAUCGAAAGAUGAAAAGCACUUUGGAAAGAGAGUUAAAAAGCACGUGAAAUUGUUGAAAGGGAAGCGCUUGCAAUCAGUCUCGACGGCGGCUGUUCGGCCUCUCUUCUGAGUGGUUUAUUCAGUCGCCGCCGGGCCAGCAUCAGUUUCGGCGGUCGGACAAAGGCGCGGGGAAUGUAGCUCCCUCGGGAGUGUUAUAGCCCCGCGUGCAAUACGGCCCGCCGGGACUGAGGUCCGCGCUCCGGCUAGGAUGCUGGCGAAAUGGUUGUAAGCGGCCCGUCUUGAAACACGGACCAAGGAGUCUAACAUCUACGCGAGUGUUUGGGUGUCAAACCCGUGCGCGCAAUGAAAGUGAACGGAGGUGGGAACCGCAAGGUGCACCAUCGACCGAUCCUGAUGUCUUCGGAUGGAUUUGAGUAAGAGCGUAGCUGUUGGGACCCGAAAGAUGGUGAACUAUGCCUGAAUAGG
Molecule: ribosomal RNA, 744 nt
Filed under: Elsinoe perseae
Lineage: Eukaryota; Fungi; Ascomycota; Dothideomycetes; Myriangiales; Elsinoaceae
Description: partial large subunit ribosomal RNA
Rfam family: Eukaryotic large subunit ribosomal RNA
Source: RNAcentral